GACGAACGCUGGCGGCGUGCUUAACACAUGCAAGUGGUGCGACGAACCAGGCUUCGGCCUGGGGCGAAGCCGCGAACGGGUGAGUAACACGUGGGCAAUCUGCCCCUUUGAUCGGGACAACCCGGGGAAACCCGGGCCAAUACCGAAUGAGGUGGCGACGCAUGAGAGCCGUCACGAAAGGCAGCCUCGGCCUCCGCGGAGGGAUGAGCCCGCGGCCCAUUAGCUUGUUGGUGGGGUAAUGGCCUACCAAGGCAACGUUGAGUAGCUGGUCUGAGAGGACGAUCAGCCACACUGGGACUGAGACACGGCCCAGACUCCUACGGGAGGCUGCAGUGGGGAAUCUUGCGCAAUGAGCGACAGCUUGACGCAGCAACGCCGCGUGAGGGAAGAAGGCUUUCGGGUCGUAAACCUCUUUCAGUUAGGACGAAGCUUUAUUGGUUAAUAACCAAUUGGAGUGACGGUACUUUCAGAAGAAGCCCCGGCUAACUACGUGCCAGCCGCCGCCGUAA
RNAcentral lists this ribosomal RNA (509 nucleotides) under uncultured bacterium. RNAcentral describes it as "partial 16S ribosomal RNA". It matches the Rfam family "Bacterial small subunit ribosomal RNA", at positions 28 to 523 of the family's 1533-position model. The record is from RNAcentral.